This 67-nucleotide transfer RNA is filed under the name Oostethus manadensis (sort-tailed pipefish). RNAcentral's name for it is "tRNA-Tyr". It matches the Rfam family "tRNA". From Rfam's summary of the family: Transfer RNA (tRNA) molecules are approximately 80 nucleotides in length. Their secondary structure includes four short double-helical elements and three loops (D, anti-codon, and T loops). Further hydrogen bonds mediate the characteristic L-shaped molecular structure. tRNAs have two regions of fundamental functional importance: the anti-codon, which is responsible for specific mRNA codon recognition, and the 3' end, to which the tRNAs corresponding amino acid is attached (by aminoacyl-tRNA synthetases). tRNAs cope with the degeneracy of the genetic code in two manners: having more than one tRNA (with a specific anti-codon) for a particular amino acid; and 'wobble' base-pairing, i.e. permitting non-standard base-pairing at the 3rd anti-codon position. Lineage: Eukaryota; Metazoa; Chordata; Actinopteri; Syngnathiformes; Syngnathidae. The record is from RNAcentral. RNAcentral also lists the same sequence under 1 other name.
GGUAGGAUGGCUGAGCAUAGCGGUGGAUUGUAGCCCCACAAACAGGGGUUUAGCCCCCUUCCUGCCA